CUCCUCUAGACUGUAAACUCAUUGAGAGCAGAGGACGUGGCUUCUCACCAACUCUGUUAUACUGCGCUCUCCUAAGUACUUAGUACGGUGCUCUGUCCCCAGUAAGUGCUAAAUAAAUCUGACCGAUGGACUGUUUGCUAAAAAUAGCACCCAUUACCCACACAAACUGGGGGACGGAACAUUCGUCUUUGCCUAAUCACGCUACAUCUGUAUUUUUCAGAAAAACAGAUCCCCAAACAAGACAUUUGCUCAGACUCCAUUUGAUUUUGGGGGCUUUCCCCAAGGUCAUUUUGGCAUGGCGUGCAACACUUGCUAUUGUGCUAUUUUUAAAUCGCGCACAAGGAAAAUCAACACAGGACACAAAAUCGUUGGCAUUUCUCUCCAAGAACGGUCUCCUGGGCACUCUGGAUCAAAGGCCCCUUCCUUCUGUGGAAAGUCUCUGCUGUCAAGUUCGGCGAAGUGAACUUAAUAAAAUGAACUGACUAAAUGAUGGCAUGUGAUGAUGAGGGGUGAAGAGAUGUCUCUGAGGGGAUGAGAGCUCCUAAUAUAGAUGGUUGGGCGGUGGCGCGGGGUGGGGAGGAGUCAUGAUGUAGAACUGCCAUCUCGGCACCCUCGGUGCUACAGAUGAGACCCAAUGAGGUCCCAUUUUUGAUCAGUGGGCAGAGGCUUCUACUUCUGCAGCAGCCAGUAGCCCAGAGACCCAGAGGUAGUAACACAGCCUUUCAUCCGGUUUUAUGUUGGACAAUCAGCAUAAAUCAUAAAUCUAGAGGAUCUAGAUAAAUCUAGACUUUGAGCCCCACGUGGGACAACCUAUUAACCUUGUAUCUCCCCCCGCAUAGUAAGCGCUUAGCAAAUAACCUCAUUAUUAUUCCAGCUUCCCCUCACCUCCUGUCACCAGUGCCAAACCCUCCCAGUCCAACCUAUAUCUUUGCUUGCCAUCAAGUUCUCCUGUGACCAGCUUCCAAGUUCACUUCGCCCAUGACCGUGGAAGUGGAAGCGAAAAUGGGAUUGGGGGGGCCACCAUUUCC
This 1028-nucleotide long non-coding RNA is filed under the name Ornithorhynchus anatinus (platypus). Its description in RNAcentral is "lncRNA (ENSOANG00000051061.1)". The record is from RNAcentral. Lineage: Eukaryota; Metazoa; Chordata; Mammalia; Monotremata; Ornithorhynchidae.